RNAcentral lists this small RNA (26 nucleotides) under Bombyx mori (domestic silkworm). RNAcentral describes it as "ovarian small RNA-21142". The record is from RNAcentral. Lineage: Eukaryota; Metazoa; Arthropoda; Insecta; Lepidoptera; Bombycidae.
UACGGUGUUGGCACAUAGGCUUUGUU